This 254-nucleotide ribosomal RNA is filed under the name uncultured bacterium. RNAcentral describes it as "partial 16S ribosomal RNA". It matches the Rfam family "Bacterial small subunit ribosomal RNA", at positions 524 to 776 of the family's 1533-position model. The record is from RNAcentral.
GACAUAGGUGGCGAACGUUAUCCGGAAUUAUUGGGCGUAAAGGAUGCGUAGAUGGUAAAAUAAGUUAUUGGUCGAUGCCAAACUCAAUUUGGCGGAAGCUGGUAAUACUGUUCAGCUAGAGGGCAGGAGAGGUUGAUGGAAUUCUGUGUGGAGCGGUGAAAUGCGUUGAUCUGCAGAGGAACACCAAAAAAGGCGAAGGCAGUCAACUAUUCUGUUCCUGACAUUGAGGCAUGAAAGCGUGGGGAGCAAACCGG